This 465-nucleotide ribosomal RNA is filed under the name uncultured Klebsiella sp. RNAcentral describes it as "bacterial SSU rRNA". It matches the Rfam family "Bacterial small subunit ribosomal RNA", at positions 338 to 795 of the family's 1533-position model. Lineage: Bacteria; Pseudomonadati; Pseudomonadota; Gammaproteobacteria; Enterobacterales; Enterobacteriaceae. The record is from RNAcentral.
CCUACGGGAGGCUGCAGUGGGGAAUAUUGCACAAUGGGCGCAAGCCUGAUGCAGCCAUGCCGCGUGUGUGAAGAAGACCUUCGGGUUGUAAAGCACUUUCAGCGGGGAGGAAGGCGUUAAGGUUAAUAACCUUGGCGAUUGACGUUACCCGCAGAAGAAGCACCGGCUAACUCCGUGCCAGCAGCCGCGGUAAUACGGAGGGUGCAAGCGUUAAUCGGAAUUACUGGGCGUAAAGCGCACGCAGGCGGUCUGUCAAGUCGGAUGUGAAAUCCCCGGGCUCAACCUGGGAACUGCAUUCGAAACUGGCAGGCUAGAGUCUUGUAGAGGGGGGUAGAAUUCCAGGUGUAGCGGUGAAAUGCGUAGAGAUCUGGAGGAAUACCGGUGGCGAAGGCGGCCCCCUGGACAAAGACUGACGCUCAGGUGCGAAAGCGUGGGGAGCAAACAGGAUUAGAUACCCUAGUAGUC